GGCUAGUCUUGUAUUCAAAACCAGUAUGAGGCUGAGCCUACUAUAGUAGGCUAUUUAAAGGAAUAUCUAUACUGUUUACCUAAAAAAUUUAGGAAUAUCUGUAAUGUAGUUUGUGAGAUGAUGUUUUCAUGGAAAUUCUGAUGUCUCUGUGCCAUCAUUACUGCAUUGCUGUUGAUAAGUAUCCAGUCUAUUGACAUUCUCUGUUGCUUUUGCAGUCUUACAUGGAUUCUG
Molecule: unclassified non-coding RNA, 231 nt
Filed under: Hevea brasiliensis (rubber tree)
Lineage: Eukaryota; Viridiplantae; Streptophyta; Magnoliopsida; Malpighiales; Euphorbiaceae
Source: RNAcentral